Molecule: ribosomal RNA, 301 nt
Filed under: uncultured bacterium
Lineage: Bacteria
Description: partial 16S ribosomal RNA
Rfam family: Bacterial small subunit ribosomal RNA
Source: RNAcentral
CAGCAGCCACGGGAAUACGUAGGGUGCAAGCGUUAAUCGGAAUUACUGGGCGUAAAGCGUGCGCAGGCGGUUAUAUAAGACAGAUGUGAAAUCCCCGGGCUCAACCUGGGAACUGCAUUUGUGACUGUAUAGCUAGAGUACGGCAGAGGGGGAUGGAAUUCCGCGUGUAGCAGUGAAAUGCGUAGAUAUGCGGAGGAACACCGAUGGCGAAGGCAAUCCCCUGGGCCUGUACUGACGCUCAUGCACGAAAGCGUGGGGAGCAAACAGGAUUAGAUACCCCAGUAGUCCCUGUCUCUUAUAU